This is a long non-coding RNA of Polyodon spathula (Mississippi paddlefish), 433 nucleotides long. RefSeq lists it as uncharacterized. The record is from RefSeq and is a predicted model, not a curated record. NCBI's taxonomy places the organism in Eukaryota, Metazoa, Chordata, Actinopteri, Acipenseriformes, Polyodontidae. The transcript has 3 exons.
CUCUUCCAAUGUGCUCGGGAGAACCACACCAUCAAUUGUGCCUGUUGCCAUUAUAUGCUACAAUUGAGGGGAAAAAAACAUACGCUGGAGACCAGAUGUUGCUGCCUGGUUUGGUGAUCCCAGGUAAAAAGGAAAAAGGCCGAUGAGAGAAUACUGUUAAGUGGCUGAGGAAUGCGGAUGAUUGUGAUAUCACCAUUUUGAACGGACUUUGCAGCUGAAUGUACCUCCAAGGGGUGCCGCUGGUAUUUUUGAAAGCAGGUAACGUCAACUGCGCUGAUAUGGAGAACACGGCAUGCUAAACACUGAAAGUGGCUUUGAUGUCAUGACUAGGGUUUCUCUGUGAUGUGUCGUGGAAUACAGAAGGUGAAACAUGAGCUCUGAUCCUUAGAUGUCUAUAAUACUACUUAUUAGCGAAUAGAAUGAUACAACUUUG